RNAcentral lists this ribosomal RNA (69 nucleotides) under Escherichia coli BCE007_MS-11. The record is from RNAcentral. Lineage: Bacteria; Pseudomonadati; Pseudomonadota; Gammaproteobacteria; Enterobacterales; Enterobacteriaceae.
GACAUUGAAUCGGCUUGUAAUAGAUCGAACCACCACUCUUACCGCCGAUAAAGUGAUUCAUUGCUACGG